GACGAACGCUGGCGGCGUGCUUAACACAUGCAAGUCACGGGGGCUCGCAAGGGCAACCGGCGAACGGGUGCGUAACACGUGAGCAACUUACCGAUUUGUGGGGGAUAGCCGGCCCAACGGCCGGGUAAUACCGCAUACGCUCUUUGGGUGGAGUCACCUGAAGAGGAAACCUCCGGGGCAAAUCGAGGGGCUCGCGGCCUAUCAGCUUGUUGGUGGGGUGAUGGCCUACCAAGGCGACGACGGGUAGCCGGCCUGAGAGGGCGACCGGCCACACUGGGACUGAGAUACGGCCCAGACUCCUACGGGAGGCGGCAGUGGGGAAUCUUGCGCAAUGGGCGAAAGCCUGACGCAGCGACGCCGCGUGAGGGAUGGC
RNAcentral lists this ribosomal RNA (373 nucleotides) under uncultured bacterium. RNAcentral describes it as "bacterial SSU rRNA". It matches the Rfam family "Bacterial small subunit ribosomal RNA", at positions 28 to 412 of the family's 1533-position model. The record is from RNAcentral.